GAAUAUUGCGCAAUGGGCGAAAGCCUGACGCAGCCAUGCCGCGUGUGUGAAGAAGGCCUUCGGGUUGUAAAGCACUUUAAGCAGGGAGGAAGGCCAUACGGCUAAUACCCGUGUGGAUUGACGUUACCUGCCGAAUAAGCCCCGGCUAACUCCGUGCCAGCAGCCGCGGUAAGACGGAGGGUGCGAGCGUUAAUCGGAAUUACUGGGCGUAAAGCGCGCGUAGGCGGUUUGUUAAGUCGGAUGUGAAAUCCCCGGGCUCAACCUGGGAACUGCACCCGAUACUGGCCGACUUGAGUGCGAGAGAGGGAGGUAGAAUUCCACGUGUAGCGGUGAAAUGCGUAGAUAUGUGGAGGAAUACCGGUGGCGAAGGCGGCCUCCUGGCUCGACACUGACGCUGAGGUGCGAAAGCGUGGGGAGCAAACAGG
RNAcentral lists this ribosomal RNA (425 nucleotides) under uncultured bacterium. RNAcentral's name for it is "bacterial SSU rRNA". It matches the Rfam family "Bacterial small subunit ribosomal RNA", at positions 359 to 776 of the family's 1533-position model. The record is from RNAcentral.